Molecule: long non-coding RNA, 831 nt
Organism: Gallus gallus (chicken)
Lineage: Eukaryota; Metazoa; Chordata; Aves; Galliformes; Phasianidae
Exons: 2
Source: RefSeq, a predicted model, not a curated record
GACCCUGGGGGGGACACACAGAGCUGGGGACAUGUAUGGGCAGAGCCAAGCACGGGCAGGUGGCACAUAAAGCCAGGCACUGCAUGGCUGUUUGGGGACACACAUGGCCAGGGGCCGCGAGUGGGCGCAGUCAUGCACACUGAGGUGACACAGCCCUCUUGGGGACACAUGGAUCCAUCCCUUGGGGUAGCGUGUGUGUCACAGGGACACACUGGGCACCAGUUUGCCAUGGGCAGCUCCCAGUCUGGGAUGAAGGACUGGGGGGGGGAUCCAACAGGGUCCCUGGGACCCCCCCUGUCCUCAUGUCCCCCACAGGCAGAGCUUUGUGGGAUGGCACAGAGCUGCUGGAUUCUGCCCCCCCCCUCCUCCCCCCUGGGCACGAAGGGGUUAUAGGGCCACACCAGCUGUGCCGUGCAGAUGUGAGAUAUGCAGAUGAGGCCAUGCAGGUUCUAUAAAGCGGGUGCAGCAGCAGCACCCCACAAAGCAGCGGGGUCACCCCGAGAGGUGCUGCUCAGCACGCUGCCCGCCGCCCUGGGCUGGAUAUCAUCAUAUACUGUAAGUUCACUAUGAGACACUACAGUAUAGAUGAUGUACUCCCCUGGGCUGCACCCGACCCCGAGAGCUGCUCUGUGGGACUGCGGUGUGGGGCGCAGGGGGGUCGUGGGGCACCCUGAGGAGCGGAUGCAGCCAAGGACACAUGGCUGGCAGGGAAACCGUUACCAUUACUGAGUUUAGUAAUGGUAACGGUUCUGCUGACGGCCAGGCAUGCAGCGAGGAAUGGGUUGGUGUGGGUUGGUGGUGUGGGUUCAAUAAAGUCAGAGAUGGCACAGA